CAGGACUGGAACUCAGGUCAGAAAG
RNAcentral lists this unclassified non-coding RNA (25 nucleotides) under Mus musculus (house mouse). RNAcentral describes it as "oocyte_clustered_small_RNA7609". Lineage: Eukaryota; Metazoa; Chordata; Mammalia; Rodentia; Muridae. The record is from RNAcentral.